GAUGAACGCUGGCGGCGUGCCUAAUACAUGCAAGUCGAGCGAACAGACGAGGAGCUUGCUCCUCUGACGUUAGCGGCGGACGGGUGAGUAACACGUGGAUAACCUACCUAUAAGACUGGGAUAACUUCGGGAAACCGGAGCUAAUACCGGAUAAUAUAUUGAACCGCAUGGUUCAAUAGUGAAAGACGGUUUUGCUGUCACUUAUAGAUGGAUCCGCGCCGCAUUAGCUAGUUGGUAAGGUAACGGCUUACCAAGGCAACGAUGCGUAGCCGACCUGAGAGGGUGAUCAGCCACACUGGAACUGAGACACGGUCCAGACUCCUACGGGAGGCAGCAGUAGGGAAUCUUCCGCAAUGGGCGAAAGCUUGACGGAGCAACGCCGCGUGAGUGAUGAAGGUCUUCGGAUCGUAAAACUCUGUUAUUAGGGAAGAACAAAUGUGUAAGUAACUAUGCACGUCUUGACGGUACCUACUCAGAAAGCCACGGCUAACUACGUG
This 497-nucleotide ribosomal RNA is filed under the name uncultured bacterium. RNAcentral describes it as "partial 16S ribosomal RNA". It matches the Rfam family "Bacterial small subunit ribosomal RNA", at positions 28 to 507 of the family's 1533-position model. The record is from RNAcentral.